This is a long non-coding RNA of Cyprinus carpio carpio, 2423 nucleotides long. Lineage: Eukaryota; Metazoa; Chordata; Actinopteri; Cypriniformes; Cyprinidae. The record is from Ensembl.
GUUUAUUUCAAUGCAAUUUCUUUUUGUACUUGUAAAUAAACUUAAAGAAACAGUGUGUUCACACAAAAACCAUGAAAUAAAAGAAAUGUCACUCAUUAUACAGUGGAUAACAAUUAACAACAAACAAUUUAGUUUAGUUGGGUCCACACAUUAUGUUCACCUAUUGGAGUUUAACUUUUUAAGCUUUUUCAUUUUUAUUUAAACUGCAAUUAGCAUAAAAUUCUUAAAGAUGGUAUUCUUUAUUCAUGCAAUAGUCAAGUGUUCAUGUGCCCAAAUAUUAUCUGCAUGCACAAUAAUAAUAAUAAAAAAAGGGUUUUCAAUCUGGGGUUCAGGACCAAAGCAAAGGGGUCAACAAAAUAAUUUAUACCAUAUUUUCCAGACUACUGGUCUUUUUUUUUAAUCUUCUGAGAUGUGCUGAAUUAUUCUAAGCAAAACGUAAACACAUAAAAGCGGGCACUUACAGGUUUCUAUAAGUAUAGUUCUCAUGUCUGUGUGACAAGCCUGUCUGUACACAGUGGUACAGACAAUAUGUGGUACAGAAAUGUUUUCUACAUUUCAGAAUGAGGUUCACAGAAACUGAGAUAGCAAGUGCAUUUUAAUUAACAAAAGAUAUACUGCUUGUAAAUAAUGGCACUAGAAUUUUUUUUUAUUUUAUACAUAGGCCUAAAUAUUUUUAUUUUUAUUCUGUUUUGAAUAGUAUUCAAUUUAAAUGAUUUGAAGUGAGGGAAAAUAAAAUCUUUACAGUGUUCAUAGUUUUUAAGUUUCUUAACGUUUGUUUUAUUUAUCAGUAUUUAAAAUAUUUCUGAAAUUAAUAGUAAAAUGUGUCUUAUACACGGAUGCAACUUAUGUGUUUUUUCCUGACUCCCACCCACAAUAAUUUUAAGCCUUAAAAUCUGUUGUAAUUCUGAGGGUGUCUUUGAAAAAUCUUCUCUGCAAGGGAUCCCUGGCGCCAAAAUGUUGUAAAUGUCCAGUGCUAGUGGUCAGGCAUCCAUAUACAGCAAAGUCUGGUGUGGUAGGAGGAACUGUCCUGGUCGGCACAACAUCUAUCUGUCUUCAUGAACUGCCCUGAAACACAAAUUAAAUAUAAAUGAUUAUUAUAAAUAUAAAUAUAGCUUCACAAUGCUCAUUUGACCUCUGUGGUGAACAUAUGAUCAGAAAAUACUGCCAGACUGAUUUUUAGUCUUUAGGGAAUUAUUUCAAAGCGUAAUUUUAAUUUUUUUUUUUUUUUUUUUUUUUUAAAGACUCGCGUGAGCAUCCAGGAUACACGACAAAGGCUGUUUUAAUACAAGAACACUUCACACAAGAUAAAGUUUUGAAAAUCUUACAUUAUCGUUAAUAUAGUGACAGAAUGUAUUUGUAUUUGCAGUACUAAAACUAACCACUAGGUGUCAGUAGUGUUACACUCACCAGUAGAGUGUGUAGAUUACGAAUCAGAAGUUAAACUCUUGUUGCUGUUCCCGUCCUGAAAAGUAGAAAAAAAUAUAAGUUCUAAAAUCGUUUCUUUAUUUGAUCAAGAAAAAUUACAGUUACCUGUUUUAGUGACUAAUUUUAAUAACUUAGUUAAAAAGGAUCAUCAAAAUUUUACCUCAGACUGUAACUUGGACCACCUCAAAUUAAUAAACAGGGAUAACGUUAUGUACAAUUACAAAAAGAGGAAUUUGAAAAUAUAUAAUCUUUAUAAUCCAAAUAAAUAAUUUGAAAUAUUAAACUGAAGUGAAAUUUAACAUUAGAUUGAUAAAACGAUGAAUAAAAGCACAUUUAUUCUUACCUUUGGCUCAGCGCAGUUGUCAGAUGACCGUUACUGUUUGAAUUUCCAAGUAACCGUUAACGUUAAUUACGUCGUUCGUUGGUCCGGUAUCUCUGUAGGUUUAUAAAGUGUCCUCAGCGUAGAAAUAAAUAAAUUAAAGGAUGGCGGCAGUUAUAUCUUCAGUCUUUUGUAAUAAACAGAAUUAUUCUUCCGUCUUCGUGGUUAUUUGCGCCAUCACGUUACGUUUACGUUUUUUUUUUUUGCCAUCACGUUUACGUCACUCACGUAACAUCACGUUAACGCCCCUCGUGGCCAGCGCACGUUUAAAUACACUAUUUCAUUUAAUUUAAAUCUUUGUGUUAAAUAUUUAUUAUUUAAUUAUUUAAUAGGAUAUAUUAUUUCAAUCUAAUUAUCUAUUUAAAUAUAUUCAACUUUAAUAUAUUUUAAUGUAUUUAACUUUAUUUAAUUAUCUAUAUUUAAUUUAUAGAUCUAAUACAGAUAUAAACUGCUGUUUCUGUCAAUGCUCCAGUGAAAAAUACCACUCAAAUAAAUAAAUAAAUCCAUGUAAGAUUUUAUAUGGUCACAUUAUGGUACUUUAAUUAGGCCUAUGUUUUUAAAAAUGUAUAUAUUACAUUAUUUUGACACCUAAAUGUUUCAGAAGAGUAGGCUACAUGUG